GACGAACGCUGGCGGCGUGCUUAACACAUGCAAGUCGAACGACGAAGCCUAGCUUGCUAGGUGGAUUAGUGGCGAACGGGUGAGUAAUACGUGAGUAACCUACCUUUAACUCUGGGAUAAGCCUGGGAAACUGGGUCUAAUACCGGAUACGACCAAUCUCCGCAUGGGGUGUUGGUGGAAAGCGUUAUGUAGUGGUUAUAGAUGGGCUCACGGCCUAUCAGCUUGUUGGUGAGGUAACGGCUCACCAAGGCGACGACGGGUAGCCGGCCUGAGAGGGUGACCGGCCACACUGGGACUGAGACACGGCCCAGACUCCUACGGGAGGCAGCAGUGGGGAAUAUUGCACAAUGCGGCGCAAGCCUGAUGCAGCGACGCCGCGUGAGGGAUGACGGCCUUCGGGUUGUAAACCUCUGUUAGCAGGGAAGAAGAGAAAUUGA
RNAcentral lists this ribosomal RNA (437 nucleotides) under Rothia mucilaginosa. Its description in RNAcentral is "bacterial SSU rRNA". It matches the Rfam family "Bacterial small subunit ribosomal RNA", at positions 28 to 459 of the family's 1533-position model. The record is from RNAcentral. Lineage: Bacteria; Bacillati; Actinomycetota; Actinomycetes; Micrococcales; Micrococcaceae.